RNAcentral lists this ribosomal RNA (277 nucleotides) under uncultured prokaryote. RNAcentral's name for it is "partial 16S ribosomal RNA". It matches the Rfam family "Bacterial small subunit ribosomal RNA", at positions 524 to 800 of the family's 1533-position model. The record is from RNAcentral.
UACGGAGGAUCCUAGUGUUAUCCGGAUUUAUUGGGUUUAAAGGGUGCGCAGGCGGAAUAUUAAGUCGGCGGUGAAAGUUUGCAGCUUAACUGUAAAAUUGCCGUUGAUACUGGUAUUCUUGAGUGUAUAUGAAGUAGGCGGAAUUUGUAGUGUAGCGGUGAAAUGCAUAGAUAUUACAAGGAACUCCGAUUGCGAAGGCAGCUUACUAAAAUACAACUGACGCUUAGGCACGAAGGCGUGGGGAUCAAACAGGAUUAGAUACCCCCGUAGUCCCUGA